GAUGAAGAACGUAGCGAAACGCGAUAAGUAAUGUGAAUUGCAGAAUCCAGUGAAUCAUCGAAUCUUUGAACGCACAUUGCGCCCGCUGGUAUUCCGGCGGGCAUGCCUGUUCGAGCGUCAUUUCAACCCUCAAGCCCCCGGGUUUGGUGUUGGGGAUCGGCUCUGCCCUUCUGGGCGGUGCCGCCCCCGAAAUACAUUGGCGGUCUCGCUGCAGCCUCCAUUGCGUAGUAGCUAACACCUCGCAACUGGAACGCGGCGCGGCCAUGCCGUAAAACCCCAACUUCUGAAUGUUGACCUCGGAUCAGGUAGGAAUACCCGCUGAACUUAAGCAUAUCAAUAAGCGGAGGA
This 348-nucleotide unclassified non-coding RNA is filed under the name soil metagenome. Its description in RNAcentral is "partial contains 5.8S ribosomal RNA, internal transcribed spacer 2, and large subunit ribosomal RNA". The stretch from base 1 to 120 matches the Rfam family "5.8S ribosomal RNA", at positions 35 to 154 of the family's 154-position model. The record is from RNAcentral.